UCUCUCUCUCUCUCUCUCUCUCUCUCUCUCUCUCUCUUCCCCACCCCCCUCACCUCAUUUUGGGAGUGGGGUGGGAAUAUACUGCUUUAGCUUUUAUCUGCAGGGAGCCACAGCUCACCAUCAAUUUCUCAGGCCUCACCGACUUUGGCAAGGCUGGGGAUAAAAAGGGCCCUUUUCCUCUCUUCUUAAACUGUGAGGUUGUCUAUCCCAGGUGACCAGAACUGAGGUCUAGACCCUAGUUCUUCCUCUCCCGGUUGACCUUUGAACUUCAUGCUGAAGAAGUCAAGGGAGACUUAGGCAUAUAUCCCUGGCUUUCUACUCCCCUAUUGCUUGUAAUUGCUCAGAGAACUGAGUAGUGACCCCACAGCUAUAUCGGUUGGGCACCUUCUCCAUGUUAGUUGGAUAGACCAGUUACCAACACACCCCACGUCCCCCCUCACUGUGGUCAUCUGCUUUCCACAAGGUUUCUGCCAACUUUACUCAUGUCCCCAAUUCCUUCUGAGCAGUUUCAGUAACAGGUGAAGUUGGCCUCCAAGGAGCUAGGUAACUGCCUUCAUUGUGGGGCUUCCUUCUUUCCCACUGGGGGUUGUGGGCAACAAAUCUGAGCUACUCUAGCCAAUAAAAUAUUGGGGGGGGUAUUUUAUUUAAUUUUUUUUUUCAUAACAGAUUAUUUUAACUUUGCUUAAUUCCCACUCCAUUAUCAGUAGCCACAGACUAAAAUCCUGGAGGUGAAAGUGCCCUCUCUCCCCCGCCUCCCACCCCUCAGGGAUGGUCCGAGAUUCCCUGGUCUUGGCAGCACACACAGUUUACCGACUACCUUCCCCUUCCCCUCCCCCUCCCCACCAAAACCUAAGGGGCAUGGUCUUGGGUACAGUCCAGUGGCCACCACUUGCCAAGGGAUAGCCCCUGCCUAGAGUUGUCCAUUCUGGGCCUAGCUAGUGCCAGAAACCUCCCUGGCACUAGAGAGAUCCUGCUCCCUCCAAGGGCUUCCUCCUUUCUCAAGGGCUUGGUGUAUUUGGGGCCGUAGAAGGCUAUGGCUGCUGCCUCUAAAAAGCAUUUGCACUUUGGGACCCUCGAGUUUUUAAGGGCAUCAGAGUCUGUCACUCUUCUUGCAAGGUCACCUCCAGCACUGGCAGAAGAAGGCCAGGGAAUGGAGCACAUAGGUGAAGACAAUUGAACACCACUAAAGGACAAGGCUGAAGCCUACCCUGCUCAGUGUCAGGAGACUUCUUCCCUUUUGGCUCACCCUGGGAAGGACCUAGGCUGUUUGGAGGGUUAACCCUGAAAGAACCAGGGAAUUUGGAGUAAACCUUAUGCUCCCCAGGCUGAGAGAGGGACCAGAGGGUCCCCAGGGGAAGCUGGAAGAGAAGGAGGGGUUAAAAAAAAAAGUCAGUUUGAGUGGGGAAACCUAUUCUCCACACCUGGAAUACUUAUUGUCCCUUCUAUGCUGAAAUCCUAUCCAUUCUGCAAGGUCCAUGCCUAGAAAGUUCUCCAAUUACCCCACUCCCCAGGAAGAAGUAAAUUAGAUCCACAGCCUCAUGUCUGGGCCCUUCCUGCGAUCUUUAUCCCGUUCUCUUUUAUUGUAGUUAUUAAAUGUGCCCCCUGUCUUUCCCCAGCUAGCUUGGGAGCUCCCCCAAGGGCUCAUAAUGGAUGGUCAACCAUCCUUUGUCUUCCCCUCCUGAUGUAGCCCAGAACAGGUCCCUGCACACAGUAGGUGCUCAGUGUGCAAUCCAUUCAUUAAAUAAACAGAACUGGGUCCCAAACCUG
Non-coding RNA from Phascolarctos cinereus (koala), 1767 nucleotides. NCBI's taxonomy places the organism in Eukaryota, Metazoa, Chordata, Mammalia, Diprotodontia, Phascolarctidae. The record is from RefSeq and is a predicted model, not a curated record.